Molecule: ribosomal RNA, 602 nt
Filed under: uncultured bacterium
Lineage: Bacteria
Description: bacterial SSU rRNA
Rfam family: Bacterial small subunit ribosomal RNA
Source: RNAcentral
GAGUUUGAUCCUGGCUCAGAAUGAACGCUGGCGGCAUGCCUAACACAUGCAAGUCGAACGAAGGCUUCGGCCUUAGUGGCGCACGGGUGCGUAACGCGUGGGAAUCUGCCCUCAGGUUCGGAAUAACAGCGAGAAAUUGCUGCUAAUACCGGAUGAUAUCGCGAGAUCAAAGAUUUAUCGCCUGAGGAUGAGCCCGCGUAGGAUUAGCUAGUUGGUGUGGUAAAGGCGCACCAAGGCGACGAUCCUUAGCUGGUCUGAGAGGAUGAUCAGCCACACUGGGACUGAGACACGGCCCAGACUCCUACGGGAGGCAGCAGUGGGGAAUAUUGGACAAUGGGCGAAAGCCUGAUCCAGCAAUGCCGCGUGAGUGAUGAAGGCCUUAGGGUUGUAAAGCUCUUUUACCCGGGAUGAUAAUGACAGUACCGGGAGAAUAAGCUCCGGCUAACUCCGUGCCAGCAGCCGCGGUAAUACGGAGGGAGCUAGCGUUAUUCGGAAUUACUGGGCGUAAAGCGCACGUAGGCGGCUUUGUAAGUUAGAGGUGAAAGCCUGGAGCUCAAUCCAGAAUUGGCCUUUAAGACUGGCAUCGGUUUGAAUUCCAGGAG